Long non-coding RNA from Trachemys scripta elegans, 910 nucleotides. RefSeq lists it as uncharacterized. The transcript has 3 exons. The record is from RefSeq and is a predicted model, not a curated record. NCBI's taxonomy places the organism in Eukaryota, Metazoa, Chordata, Testudines, Emydidae.
CAAACAGUUCACUCCCUAGCUAUCCGGAGAAGCAUGGAGUUUGCAUCUUCCUGGCUGACUCAAUACACAGUUAUAACAAGUGCCUUCAGAGAGAUUAACCAUCCUGGUGUCGAACUCAUUAAUCCUGGACAGCCAACAAGAAACGCCACCUGCCCACCUGCAUCUUGUUGGGAGUCUUUGCCCCGUCCCUGGGGAGGAGUGUCUGAGCACAGUGCUUAAUACAUUGGUCACCUGCAUAACGUAGCAUUUGGGAUUGAAGGCAGCAGCAGCACAGAAACGUGGCAGGCAGCUUUCUCACUGGUUGGCCAUUGAGAGCACCUGGCCGGUGUACACCACCCUCCGUUGUUCCCCUGUUUGCUCCUGAUGCCCUUCAAGGUCCUGGUGCGGAUGUGCUGAGUCGGCACCCAGAUAUAGCAGGCCCCACCUCUCAAUCCAUAACCCUCCAAGACAACGGCAUUCCUCAGGAGCUGUGCAUCCAGUAACGCCCCGGCCAGAGCAGCUUCAACUUCCAGCCACUGGAUCAUGUUACACCUUUCUCUGCUGGACUGAAGAUCCCAUUAUCAAAUACUUGUUCUCCAGGAAUGUACCUGUUGGUCAACCGGGAGAGCUGCUAGCUCAUUCCCCUGGACCCCAACAUUAGGAUUUAACCUAUACACUUUAAUAGACAUAGUUUGGGGGUAAUUACCUGUGUGUCAGCAAUAUGUUAAUUUGAGCCAUGGGCCAAGCCAUUAUGUAAUCUUUUAGACCAUUGGUUUAUUGUGCUUAUCUUGUCUUGCUGCUAGAACCUAUCCAGGGAUUGGGACCUCCCACGCCAUCACUUCUCUCCACCCAGCAAGCACCCUAGAUAAUCUAUUGUAAUUAAUUGUUGGGCUGUGUCUCUGAGCCUAAUAAGCAAAGAGACACUUUGCCA